GGUGGCUCAGUGGUAGAGUGCUUGCUUUGUAAGCAUGAGUCCUUGGGUUCAAUCUCAGCACCA
Molecule: transfer RNA, 63 nt
Filed under: Dipodomys ordii (Ord's kangaroo rat)
Lineage: Eukaryota; Metazoa; Chordata; Mammalia; Rodentia; Heteromyidae
Rfam family: tRNA
About the family: Transfer RNA (tRNA) molecules are approximately 80 nucleotides in length.
Source: Rfam by way of RNAcentral